CCCCCCCCCCAUAAGAGGUCCAGCCUGCCCAGUGACCCAGUUCAACGGCCGCGGUAGCCUAACCGUGCGAAGGUAGCGUAAUCACUUGUCUUCUAAAUAAAGACUAGUAUGAAAGGCAUCACGAGAAUUCAACUGUCUCCUUUUUUCAAUCAGUGAACCUAAUCUCCCUGUGAAAAAGCAGGAAUUUACAAAUUAGACGAGAAGACCCUAUGAAGCUUUAAACACUAGUCAACUGCUAGCAUUACUAUACCCCGGCCCCAAAUUUAUGCACCAUGAUCACAUGUUUUUGGUUGGGGUGACCGCGGAAAAUAACCUAACCUCCACAAUGAAAACCCUCAAGCCACAACUUUAAGUAUCAACAAAUUGACA
RNAcentral lists this ribosomal RNA (369 nucleotides) under Pristimantis fenestratus (Rio Mamore robber frog). RNAcentral describes it as "partial large subunit ribosomal RNA". It matches the Rfam family "Archaeal large subunit ribosomal RNA", at positions 1927 to 2428 of the family's 2987-position model. Lineage: Eukaryota; Metazoa; Chordata; Amphibia; Anura; Strabomantidae. The record is from RNAcentral.